GAUUCUGGCUCAGGAUGAACGCUAGCUACAGGCUUAACACAUGCAAGUCGAGGGGCAGCAUGAGAUUAGCUUGCUAAUCUUGAUGGCGACCGGCGCACGGGUGCGUAACACGUAUCCAAUCUACCCAUGGCUCGGGGAUAGCCUUUCGAAAGAAAGAUUAAUACCCGAUGGUCUGCGAUUGAGACAUCUCGAUUGCAGUAAAGACUUGUCGGCGAUGGAUGGGGAUGCGUCCGAUUAGCUAGUUGGCGGGUAACGGCCCACCAAGGCGACGAUCGGUAGGGUUCUGAGAGGAAGGUCCCCCACACUGGAACUGAGACACGGUCCAGACUCCUACGGGAGGCAGCAGUGAGGAAUAUUGGUCAAUGGUCGGGAGACUGAACCAGCCAAGUAGCCGUGAGGGACGACGGCCCUACGGGUUGUAAACCUCUUUUGUAUGGGAAUAAAGUGAGGCACGUGUGCCUUUUUGUAUGUACCUUACGAAUAAGCAUCGGCUAAUUCCGUGCCAGCCGCUGC
This 513-nucleotide ribosomal RNA is filed under the name uncultured bacterium. RNAcentral describes it as "bacterial SSU rRNA". It matches the Rfam family "Bacterial small subunit ribosomal RNA", at positions 15 to 518 of the family's 1533-position model. The record is from RNAcentral.